UGGUGGCUUCGAAAUCGCGUGCGUGGCCUUGGCGUGAAGCCGCUUGGCGCACGGCCCCUGGUGCGCGCCGCCGCCUCUGCUUGGAGAAGAAAUAAAAAAAUAAAAAUGUGGUCCGUAUCUGUGUGCACAAGAUUACCCAGGCUUCCUAAGACGCUCAAAGGGAGACUCCUCCUGAGACCGCUGUUCCUGAGACAGUUGUCUAUGGCCUGGAGAUGUGGUAGAAUUCAUCACCCACAUCAUCUGAGCCGGGUGUUUUCUGAACGGUUUUAAUGAUUUCCUUUCUUUUCUGGUUAAAGGACACUCCCAGCUAUGUGUUUCCUCUUGUGUCAGUUUUGGCAAACUUUGUGUUCUAGAAAGUUGUCCAUUUUCCAUAAAUGUUCAAAUCUACUA
Oryctolagus cuniculus (rabbit) is the source of this 390-nucleotide non-coding RNA. The record is from RefSeq and is a predicted model, not a curated record. NCBI's taxonomy places the organism in Eukaryota, Metazoa, Chordata, Mammalia, Lagomorpha, Leporidae.